This 468-nucleotide ribosomal RNA is filed under the name uncultured bacterium. RNAcentral's name for it is "partial 16S ribosomal RNA". It matches the Rfam family "Bacterial small subunit ribosomal RNA", at positions 28 to 507 of the family's 1533-position model. The record is from RNAcentral.
GACGAACGCUGGCGGCGUGCUUAACACAUGCAAGUCGAACGGAAAGGCCCUGCUUUUGUGGGGUGCUCGAGUGGCGAAAGGGUGAGUAACACGUGAGUAACCUGCCCUUGACUUUGGGAUAACUUCAGGAAACUGGGGCUAAUACCGGAUAGGAGCUCCUGCUGCAUGGUGGGGGUUGGAAAGUUUCGGCGGUUGGGGAUGGACUCGCGGCUUAUCAGCUUGUUGGUGGGGUAGUGGCUUACCAAGGCUUUGACGGGUAGCCGGCCUGAGAGGGUGACCGGCCACAUUGGGACUGAGAUACGGCCCAGACUCCUACGGGAGGCAGCAGUGGGGAAUAUUGCACAAUGGGCGGAAGCCUGAUGCAGCAACGCCGCGUGCGGGAUGACGGCCUGCGGGUUGUAAACCGCUUUCGCCUGUGACGAAGCGUGAGUGACGGUAAUGGGUAAAGAAGCACCGGCUAACUACGUG